AGGUAAUGUAGAAGAGAGAUGGCACCUUUCUUCUGGGAAGGAGGCAGAGGCCUGGCCCAGGAUCAAAUCAAAAGCUGAGGCUCACUGCCCCCUGGAUGGGCAGUGAGUCUUUGGGUUCCUGAGGCCAGGGCAUGGCCCAGCCUUGUUCCCCCCAGGAUGGCACAUGGGCCAGAGGGGUGAGGGGCCUUCAUAAGCUGACCUUGAGGAUUCACUUGGGUCCCAGCCAGACAGGAGUAUGAUCAUCACGUCUGUGUCACAUGCUUAGUUCUGUGCCUGCUCGGGGAUUCUGACAGCCUGCGACAGGUGCAGGGGGCCUGAAGCUUCAUGUGCAAGCAGGAGUUUGGGGCACCUUGGGGAGGGAGGGGCUUUCGUUGGGGAGUCAUGCUGAAGUGUGCUGCCCUGGACCUGGGGGUGGGCUAGGAAAGGGCAAAGACCAGCAAGGUUGCUUCCCAGCAAGGUUGCUUCCCGUUCUCAUGGAGUUUGCAGUUUAAAAAUACCAGUGCUGUUUAGCCACAGGUCUGCUGGGUUAGAAUCGUGGAGGAAGUACAGCAAUUGCACGUAUUACAGGGGAUCAGGCUGUCAGGGGAUGCAACAAGGCCCCGGCUCUUUGCCGGUAAGCCUGUUCGGCUGUCCAUGCACGCAAGCUGCCAGGGCCGCUGGCUGCUCUCUGGAGCCCUGUGUCCCCUUUGGCUGGACAUAUCCCAUGUCACAUUCCCCCAGAGUUCUCAUUCCAGUCGGCUAAUCCCCAAGAACAUGGGCCAGGGCAUUAGCUUUCGGGUCCUCUUAAAGACCAAAAAGGAAAGCAACCCCCCCACCUCUUGGUUCAUUGCAGAUACCCACUGGGUGGCUUGGAAGGGAUUUGGGGCUGUGGGUGGUGAAAAUCACAGCUUCGGGCACACACCUGCUGGCCCCAUGUCACUGACAGGCAGCUUGAAGGCUCAGGGCUCCUACUUUACAGCAUAUAAUAUAUAAAUAUUUUUAAAAAAGAUCUUUGCUGUAAAAUAAAGCCCCUGUGUCUGCAGAGCUUGCUUUAGGCAUAUGUGCCCACUCUCAAAGCGUCAGCUAACAUGCUUUUUUUCUUGGCAUUUGUAAAACAAAACCAAACCAAAAACAAAACCCCAUAAGCAAAUAAACAAAAUUCCAUGUAAAAUGUUUAUUUUAAUUAUGCAUAAAAUGUAUUGAUAAAUAACAUGGUCAUUAGUAAAAAUUAUAUGACGUUGCAGAUAAAGCUAAAGCCAUCUUUAACCCUUCCAUCAACCUCAGCCUCCCCUCGCCCCCAAAAUUAACUGCAGUUAUAAUUUUCAGAAUCUGCUUGGAAAUAAUAAAGAUCAACGCCAUUCCUUGUAACAACACUUCAGUAUCCUGUAAUCUGCACACCCCAGCAUUUAUUUAACCACUUCGGUGCGGCAUGAAAGCCCCAGGUCCUCUACCCUGAGGGAGGCGAAUAGUGGAGGCAGGUAAGCCCCCGGCUUCUCUGUGCAGCCUGGAUCUGAAAACCACUUUGUGUUAUUUCCUGCACUGAUGGAUGGCGUCUGAGGGUUGUGCUGUCUGCUCUGUGGCACUGGUUGGCUUAUUCAAGUCAGUGUUCAAACUAUCUCUUGCACUUUCAAGGGCCACUGGGAUUCUCAAAGAUGAAAGGACUUUAAGAGGUUAGGGACUUGCCCAAGAUUGGCUAAAAAGCAGAACCCAGGAUUCCAACCCAGGGAUGUUGAUUCUCAGAGGACGGAGAUUUGUCUGUUUUGUCCACUGCUGCAUCUCCAGCACCCAGACCCAAAGCCUGGACUGUUGUGAGAAUCAAACAAGAUAAUGUAUGCUAAAGCAUGCUGUGAACACUACGUGCUGUGUAUAGGAGAGUGAAGUCCCCAAAAUGAAUGUAGUGACACUGUCUUGUUGAAGAUCUUGGUUGUGAACUUUGUGGGAAAUGAACCGUGAACCAAUAAUUCAAUAUAUGAAAUAUGAUUUAUUCAUUAUCCAUUGAAGGAGAUCUUGGCUGUCACUUCUGUGGAUGAGGAGAGGGAUGCAUAUGAAGAAAAGAAAUCUAGACUCAUCCCAUAUCCCAUCCCAUAUCCCACUUUGGAUCAAGCAUAUGUCAGCAGUUAUGUGAAAUGGUAUUUCAGUUCUGGAUUGCUGGUCCAGGGAGUAGCACAGAGGAAGAGGGAAGAUACUGUCAUUGUCAUCAUUAUUAGUUAAGAUGGCAGUCAAGAUUUAAUAUGGGAAGAGACCACAAAACAUCAUUCAUACCAGGAGACAUAGAUUAUUUGGAGCCAUCUUGGAGGCUACCACAUGUAAUAUCUUUAUAAUAUGGACAAAUUAAACAAGAAAGGUGAGCAUGAACAAAAUAUAACUAUGGUAUUAAGAUGAAGCCAAGAAGUUGAGUAAUCUAUGUAAUGCUGACUUCAAUUGCAAAAAGAUAUAGUCUCAGUUCUAUGGAAAAUAAGCCUAUGGAUAGAUCUUGGUAAUAUUCAAAGGUCUUGUUCUUGUGUUUUUUGGUUCAUGUAUACUGAGUUUGUUAUUACUAAUGACUCAAUGAAUAAAGCAAUAAAGAUAUGAAUGAAUGGAAAAAAAAGAGUUCCAAGCCUAGACCAAUGAUGAGUGUUCUGGGGUAUUUGAAUCAAUGAUUCUGAUUAAACCCUAUAACUCUGAGGUCUACUACAGGAAGAGAUGUAUUUAAUGCUUGUAAGGUAAGUAAUAUUACAGCAGAAGCAGAAGUCAGACUAUUGACAUUCAUAAGUCUGCAUUGUAUUUCUAUAAAUGAAUUAAUGUAUGAAUAACAAAACAAAUACAUAAAUGAAUGAAGGCAUGGAGAACCAUAUGUGACUUAAUUAUGAGAGUGUGUAACAUAUUUAUGUUUCUUGAGACAUUUCUGAAGCAGCCAGCUCCAACACAAAUUGAUUACAUCUGAGACUCCUUUGUGUAAGUAAUGUAUACAGGUAAGUACAUAGAAAUCAAUGUUGCUGUCUUGCAUUAUUUAGGUGGUACUUGUUGCUUAUUAAAAAAAGGAAAUAUAAUCUAGUUGGUUAUGUCUUACAUUAAUAAGCACGUAUACCACUGUUAAUGUUCAAAUUUCUAGUGUACUUUGUACAUUCAGAGAUAUUGAUGAUAUUAUGAGUGAAUGUAUGAGUAUGUUCAUCUCUUAUCUCUCAACUUAGGCCCUAUAGCUCUGAAGAGGAUAGAGCAAAAUUUUUCAGUUUCAGCUUUAUUAAUAUCCUGGGCUUGUAGUUCUCUGUUAUUGGGGUUUCUCCUGUAUGUUGUGGGUUAUGAUAGACAUUUCUCCACACAUUAGCAAAUAUCAUCUGGGUGGGAACAACAUUGACCCCAAUUCAGAACUACUUUGAUAAAACACAGACCAAUGAGGAGCGUGUGUUGUAAAAUAUAAAUUAUUUAUCCUGUUGUACCUUGCUGGUAUUCAGAUUAAAAAAACCCUCAUAACCCAGGCUCUUCCCAUCUUGGAUCACUUUCAUAUGUACAGUUGCAUUUAAUUGUAUUACAAAUUUGCAUGGUUAUUGUGUUGAUAAUACGGCAUUUUCUUUUUUUUUUCUCUUUUUUCUAAUACUGCAUUUUCUCUAGAAAAAAAAGGUUCGUGAUGAAGACAUACUGAUGAAUAAAUAAAACUGAAUGAAUAAAUACAUGAAGGAGGGUCUAGUAUGGAUUAUUGGCAAAAAACGUAUCACGAAAAAAUGUAUAUUUAAUUGUAUUGCAAUUUUGUAUGGUUGAUGUGUUAUCUAAUUCUGUAUAAGCAAGCUCCAUUAUUAGGAAAAAUGUUCUAGAUUCUUCUGCUGGGUGCUAGAUAAAUCAAUUAAUAAAAUGCUGGGCCAUGCGUGCGCCACUGAUUAAAAUUUGGAAUAAAUGAAGGUUUAUGGUUAAUCUAAUACAGUUCUACAAAUGUCCCUAGAAAGAUUAAAUUUGGGCUUUUCUUUCUUCCAUCUGCCUUUACCCCACAUAAUGUGUGUGCUACACCUGAGCUAAUUAUUCCCUAAUGGUGAAAAUCCUGGCUUUUUGUUCUGUGGCUAAAAAGUGUAGGAACAGAUCUUAGUUAAUGUUUAUGUUCUUGAUUUGGACGUUUUGUUCAUGUUUUUUGUUAUUUCAGAGAAAUAAAUGGGUACAUAUUUAAGUUAUAUUAGAAAAUACUUUGGGAGGCUGAGGCAAGAGAAUUGCUUAAGCCCAGGAGUUUGAGGUUGCUGUGAGCUGUGAUGCAAUGGCACUCUACCGAGGGCUACAAAGUGAAACUCUGUCUACAAAAAAAAAAAAGAAAGUACCAUGCAUUGAUGGAUGAUUGGAAUGUUUUAAGAAAAAAGACAGUAGUCUCAGCUACUUGGGAGGCUAAGGCAAGAGAAUCGCUUAAGUGAGUCUGAGUUUGCUGUGAGCUAUGACACCAUGGCACUGUACCAAUGGGGACAAGUGAGACUCUGUCUCAAAAAAAAAAAAGAUGAAAUGAUACUAUUUUAUUUCAGCAUAACUAAAACCAUUAAUUAAAAUAAGGUCAUUUCAAUCAUCUUCAGAACAGAAUAUUAUUCCCUUUUAUUUUUGUACCACAGCUUAUUUAAAUUUCUUUGCCUGAUUUGGUUUGCUGAAUCUUUAAGGGUAACAUGUAAAAAAACAGUGGAUAUUGUUAGUGUUCAUGUUGUGGGAUAAGAAAGUAUGUUCUUGUUCAUGUUCGUUUAUUGUUCUUCCCAGAAUUUUGGAUUGCUUGAAGCUAGGAAUUUAAGAGUAUCCUGGGCAACAUAGAGAGACAUGAUUCUACCAAAAAUUAAAAAAAGUUUUGAAGUGUUGGCACACACUUGUAGUCCUAGCUAUCUCGAAGGAAGAGGCAGAAGGAUUGCUUGAGCCCAGGAGUAAAAAGCUGCAAUGAGCUAUGACUGUGCCACUUUGUAGCCCCAUUUCAGCCAGGCUACAAAGUGAGACUCUGUCUCUUAAAAUUAAAAGAAUAAAUAAAUAAAUAAAUUAGACUACAUUAAGUUAAAUAUGGACAAACUAAAUGAAGAGUAAGCAUGGAACAGUGAUAAGUAUAGGAUUGCUGAGAAAGAGUUUAAUAACCCAUAUGUUCAAUAUUAGAUUCAUUGUAAAAAGCAGUAUUCUAACAGAUUUGUUGAUCUUAGCAGUUUUGUGAUUCUUACCUGGGGGAUUUGGGAAAUUUUUUGUGUUGUUUUAACAUUGUUAGGGAAUCAAUGAGUAUAAAUAUAUCAAUAAACAAACAUACAAAUGAGUGAAUUAAGAAUUCUAAACCAAGACCAAUGAUGAAUAUUCUGAGAUGUUUGAAUCAAAAUUUUGAUUAAACCCUAUAGCUUUGAAGUUCAUUAGAAAAAGAAAAAUGGCAUAUUUUCUCUGUGGGUAAUAAGCAUAUAUCAGAAGUUAGGAAAAGUCAGAUUUUGUUCUUGAUCUCCUGAGUACUGAGUAUAGAUUAUAUUUUGUAUAAGUAAAUCCUUACGUAAGUAGAAGAAUAAAAUAUAUUAAUGAUGACAGAGAUAUAUGAUCAGAUCAAAUAUGAGAGCAUGUCAUGAAAUAAGGAGCAGGAUUUAUACAAUUUGGAAAUACUGGCUGGGUGUGGUGGCUCAUGCCUGUAAUCCCAGCACUCUGGGAGGCCAAGGUGGGCAGAUUGCCUAAACUCUUGAGUUUUAGACCAGCCUGAGCUAGAGUGAGACCCUGUCUUUAAAAAUAGCCUGACUUUGUGGUAGGCGCCCGUAGUCCCAGCUACUUGGGAGGCUGAGGCAAGAGAAUCUCUUUAGCCUGAGAGUUGGAGGUUGCUGUGAGCUGUGUUGCUAUGACGCUCUACCCAGGGCGACAGCUUGAGACUCUGUCUCCAAAAAAAAAAAAAAUUUAAAGUGCAGAGUUCCAGUAAAAUAAACGGUUCAAGGCUCUUAGACUUUUGAGUAAGGAACAUAAGAACAUAACUAUGUAUAUGAAUCAAUGUUGUUCAUUGGUAACUGGGUGUUGUUUUUAAAAAUGUUGCUCCUUUUUAAGAUUUUUUUUUUAUGCAAUUUUAGGUUCACAGCAAAAUUGAGCAGAAACUACAAAGAAUUCCCAUAUAUCUCUUGUUCCCAUGUGUAUAUAGCCACUCCCAUUAUCAACAUUCCUCUCACUUCUGAAUAGUAGUACAUUUAUUACAGUCGUUGAAUCUACACUGACAUAUCCUUAUCACCCGAAGUCUGUAGUUUACAAUGGACUUUGCCCUUGGAUUGUACAUUCUAUGGAUUUGGGUAAAUGUAUAAUGACAUGUAGCCACAUUAUAGUAUCAUAUAGAAUAUUUCACUGGUCUAGAAAUCCUCUGUGGUGACUUUUAUCCUGGCAACCAUUGGUCUUUUUAAUAUCUUUGUCAUUUUGCCUUUCCAGAGUGUUUUGCUCUUGUAAUCCUACUACGUUACAAGUAAUAUGCAUUUAAGUUUCUUCCAUGUUUUUUCAUGGGUUGAUAGCUAUUUCUUUCAGUGCAAAAUAAUAUUCCAUUGUCUGGAUAUGCCAUAGUUGAUUUAUCCAUUCACCUACUGAAGAACAUCUUGGUUUCUUCCAAGUUUUGGCAAUUUUGGGUAAAGCUUCUGUAAACAUGUGUUUGCAGGUUUUUGUGUGGAUGUAAGUUUUCAACUCCUUACAGUAAAUACCAAGGAGUACUAUUGCUGGAUUGUUUGGCAAGAAUUGUUUAGUUUUUGAGAAAACUAUUGAAGUGGCUGGAUCAUUUUCAAUUUCCAUUAGCAAGGAAUGAGAAUUCCAUUUGCUCCAUAUCCUUGCUAUUGUUUGGUAUUCUCAGUGUUACAGAUUUUGGUCAUUCUAAUAGGUGUGUAUCUCAUUGUUUAAAUUUGCAUUUCACUGAUAACAUGAUGUGGAGCCUCUUUUAUUUUCACUGUGGUAGUUUAAACAUUAUUUACUUAUUUAUUUAAAAAAAUUUCAGAAUAUUACGGGGGUUCUCAGGUUUUGGUUAUAUAAUAUGCUUUUGUACAUUUUAAUUCAAAGUUAUAAAUGGAGCAUCUUUUUAUAUAAUCAUUUCCUUUUUUUUUUUUUUUUUUUGGGACAGAGUUUCUCUCUGUUGCUCCAGCUAUAGUGCCGUGGUGCCAUAGCUUAUAGCAACCUCAAACUCUCCUGGGUUAGAGCAAUCCUCCCAAGUAGCCUGGAUUAAAGGCAUGCAUCCCUACUAUGCCCAGCUAGUUUUUUUAUUUUUAGUAGAGAUAGAGUCUCACCCUUGCUCAGGUUGGUUUUGAACUCCUGAACUCAAGCAAUCCACCCAAGUUAGCUUCCCAGAGUGCUAGGAUGCAGGCGUGGGCCACUGGGCCCAGCCUAUAUGAUUAUGAUUAUUUUCUGUGUACCUUUGUUGGUGAAGUGUCUGUUAAAAUCACUGGCCUAUUUUUUAAUAUGUAUGGUUGUUUUCUUAUUGUUGAGUUUUAAGAGUACUUUGUAUAUUUUGUAUAAUAGCACUUUAUUGGAUGUGUCUUUUGUAAAUAUUUUUUCCCAAUCUGUGGCUUUUCAUACUUUCUUAACAGAGCAGAAACUUUUAAUUGCAAUAAUGUCCAGUUUAUUAAUUCUUUCCUGUACAGAUUAUCCUUUUGACGUUGCAGCUAAAAAAUCCAUUGCCAAAUCCAAGGCAUCCAACAUCUAAACUUUCUAUGUUUCUUCUGUGAGUGUUAUAUAGCUUUGUGUUUUACACUGAGGUCUAUGUUCCUUCUUGUAAUUACAAAAUUUAUAAAUUAUAUGUAUAAAAGAUGUUAACUUUUGUAAAAUGUGUAAAGGCUGUGUCUGUAUUCAUUUGUUUGCAUGUGAAUGUUCAGUUGUUCUAGUACCAUUUGCUCCAUUGCAUUGCCUUUGCUCCUUUCUCAUAGAUCACUUGAUUAUGUAUUUAUGUGGGUCUACUUCUGGGCUCUCUAUUCUGUUCUACUGAUUUAUUUAUUUAUUUAUUCUUUUGCCAAUAUCAUACUUUCAGUUACUGUGCUUAAUAUUGUUAAUAUAGAUAAGACCAGCUUUGUUCUCUUUCAGUGUUGUGUGGGCUGUUCUGGGCCUGGCCUCUCCCUGUAAACUUUAGGCUGAUUUUAUUGACAUUACAAAACAAUAUGCUAUUAAAUCUAUAGAUCAAGUUGGUAAAAACUGUCAUCAUGGAAAUAUUGAAUCUUCCUAUCUAUGAACAUGGAAUAUCUCUUCACUUGUUUAGGUCUUCUUUGAUUACUUUCAUCAGAUUUUUAUAGUUUUACCCAUGUAGAUCUUGUACAUAUUUUAUUAUAUUUACACCUAACUUAGACUGAACGUAUUACCUAAUAAUUUAUAUUGUAUUAUGUUUGAUUUAUUUUUAAUAUAUAUUUAUUAUAUAGUAUGCUUUUAAUAUAUUAUUUAUAUGUGUUAUAUUUUAUUUAUUUCUAUUUUAUUGUAUAUUAUUAUAUGUUAGAUUUAUACCUACAGUCAUUUUUGGUGAUGCUAAUAUAAAUAUUGUUUUUAAUUUCAGAUUCCACUUGCUCAAUCCUGAAGCAAUUGACUUUUUUGUAUUCUGCUAACUUGAUAUAAUUACUUAUUUGUGGCAUGAAUGUUUUUAUUAAAUUUUUAUAAAUGAAUUUUUAUUAAUGCUUUCAGAUUUUCUACAUAAAUAACCAUGUUAUCUGAAAACAAAGACAGUUUAUUUCUUUUUCUUUUUUUGUUAUCAGUAUACUUUUUAUUUCAUUUUCUUGUUUUAUAGCAUUUGCUUAAACUUCCAGUAUAAUGUUGAAAAGCAGUUGAGAAGGACUAUCCUUGCUGUGUUUUUGAUCUUAAUGGAAAAACUUUUGAGUUUCUUACCAUUAAAUAUAAUGUUAGCUGCAUAUUUUUAAUAGAUAUUCUUUAUCAAGUUGAGGUUCACUUCUAUUUCUUCUUAAGUUUUUUUAUAUUAUUAAUCAAUAUUGUACUUUGUCAAAAUAACUUUUUCUGCAAUUACUGAUAUGACCAUGUGAUUUUUUUUCUUCCUUAGGUUGCUGAUGUGAUGGAAUUAAAUUAAUUCGUUUUCAAAUCUUGAACCAGGCUAGUGUAUCUAGGACAAAUUCUACUUGAUUGUGGUGUCUGUUUCUGUUUAUAUAUUGUUGGAUUUGGUUUGCUGUUAAGAUUUGAGGACUUUUGCUUCAUAUAUUCAUGAAAAAUAUUGGUUUAUAGUUCUUCUUGUUUCUUGUAAUGUCCUUUUCUGGUUUUGGUAUUAGGGAAUGCUCUCCUUUUAGAAAGAAUUAGAAAGUAUUUAGUCUGUUUUCAUCUUCUGAAAGAGAAUGCAGAAUUGGUUUAAUUUCUUUUUUAAAUGUUUGGGAGAAUUUAUCAGUAAACCUGUCUUUGCAGAUUCCUUCUGUUUUGAAAGGUAAUUAAUUAUUGAUUUAAUGUUUUUAAAUAGAUGUAGGCCAAUUUAGAUUGUUUUUCUUAUUGUGUAAGUUUUGGCAGAUCAUGUCUUUCAUAACCUUGAAAUUCAAGAAAUCAUAACCAUUUCUUCUAGGUUAUCAGUUUUGUGCAUAUAGAAUUGUUCAUAGUAUUCCCUUGUUAUAUAUUAUUUUCAAAAACUUAGACGUUAUUGUAUAGUAAUUUAUUUAAAGGUAAACAAAACAAUUAUUAGAAUCCAAAAAGAAUCUCAAAAGAAGUCUUACCCUUUGAAAGUAUUAUAUGUAUGCAAAUUUAUAUUCAAAUUAGAAAAGUUUUGAUACCAUUUAGAUUGUUUUUAAAUAUAACUUAUCUUUAUCUUCAUGUAAAGAAAACACCUUAUGAUAUCAUCUCAUGGUUUAUGUUGUGAAGAAUUGAUGUGAAAAUGUUAAAGUGUUGAUAAAUUUUAUUCUGGAAUGUUGGUAUUAUGGAAAGGUGUAAUUGGUUAACAUAUUUAAGCAAGAUGUGUUCUAAACCUUCAACUAUAUUCAUAAUAGUUGAGGAAAGAUCAUAUAUUGUUUAGAAUAGCAAGUCUUACUAAAAUGCCUAUGUUCAUUUUCUUGGUAGGUUUUUUUAAAGUUUAAAAGUAGUCAUUACAACUAUAUUUUGAUUGUUUUUUUGUCUGCGUUGCAUAUCUGAUAUUCACAGGCUGUAAAAAUGGUUAACAGAAAAUAACUUAGUAACUGGGAUGUAAGUAAACUGCUAAGAUAAAUAAAUUAGGGAAAUGUGAGAGAAAUGCUUAGAAAUAAAAUCUUUAUAUAAUUUGCAAUGUUAAAAUUUUGUUAAAUGAAAUAAUAGAUACUCAUUAAAUGUCACUUCCAGUUAAGAAAAAAUUAUAUUGGAGGGAAACAUGGGCUUAAAACUUGUAAAUAUGGCUUUUAUUUAUAAAAUGUUGACAUAUGACAAGCAAGUCAAGAUCUCUUACUAUUUCCCAUGUUUUCACUAAGGUUUGGGGUUACAGGGAGUUAAAAUUUCUGGUUAAUAUAUGAUACUAUUGGGGGGCUUAAGAACCAAUAAUAGAAAAAUGUGGCAUUUGUACAACAUGUAGACUGACUAAUGAAACCACAAGGUCUGUCUGAUUUCUGUUACACAGUUAAUGUCCAUGGGAUCUAUAAUGAUAUUGCUUUUUUCAUUUCUGAUAUUAGUAGUUUAUAUCCUCUCUCUUUUUUUCUUUAUUAGCUACCUAUAGUUUUUUUUAUUUUUAUUGAGCUUUUCAAAGAACCAAUUUUUUUUGGGUAAUUUUCCCUACUGAUUUACUGUUUCCAAUCUCAUUUAUUUCUGUUCUAAUUUUUUUUAUUUUUCUCUUCUGCUUACUUUGGACUUGAUUUGUUCUUUUUAUUUUGUUUCCUAAGAUGUAAGCUUAAAUUACUGAUUUUAUAUCUUUCCUUAUUUGUUUCUUAAAGUUAAUAUUAUUCAAAAUUGUCAAAUCAUAAUUGUAUAUAUCUACGGAGUACAAUGUGAUGUUUUGAUAUAUGGAUAGACAAUGUAUAUUGAUUAAGUCAGGAUAAUUAAUAUGUAUCAGCUCAUUUACCUAUCAUUUUCAUUGUGAGACAUUUGAAAUUUACUCUCGGUUGCUUUGAAAUAUAUAACACAUUAUCAUUGACUAUAGUCACCCUGUUAGACCUCAAAACUCAUUCUUCCUGUAUAUCUGAAACUUUGUACUGUUUGACCAAUGUAAUAACUCCCCAAUCCCUCCGUUAACCUCACCUGAGCCUCUGGUAACCAUCACUUCAUUCUCUACUUGUUUGAGUUCAAUGUUCUUAGAUUACAUGUGUAAAUGACAUCUUGUGGUAUUUGUCUUUCAGUGCAUAGAAUAUUUUGUUGUUUCCGUUUUGGGGGUUAUAUCCAAAAAAUCAUUGUUUAGGCCAAUGUCAUACAGAUUUUCCUCUCUAUUUUCUUUUAGUAGUUUUACAGCAUCAGGUUGUAUAUUGAAGUUUUUAAUCCAUUUUGAGUUGGCUUUUAUAUAUGGUGUAUGAUAAGGAUCCAGUUUCAUUCUUCUGUAUGUAUGUGGAUAACCAGUUUUCCUAAUACUAUUUGUUGCAAAGACUGUCCUUUUCCUAUUGUAUGCUCUUGGUACCUUUGUCCAAAGGUAAAAUGCCGAUAAAUGUGUGAGUUUUAUUUUUGUGCUUUUUAAAUGCUAUUUCUUUAGUGAAUUCUUCUGUUUUUAUGGC
Nycticebus coucang (slow loris) is the source of this 11504-nucleotide long non-coding RNA. RefSeq lists it as uncharacterized. Lineage: Eukaryota; Metazoa; Chordata; Mammalia; Primates; Lorisidae. The record is from RefSeq and is a predicted model, not a curated record. The transcript has 14 exons.